This 520-nucleotide ribosomal RNA is filed under the name Loxopagurus loxochelis. RNAcentral's name for it is "partial large subunit ribosomal RNA". It matches the Rfam family "Bacterial large subunit ribosomal RNA", at positions 1835 to 2606 of the family's 2925-position model. The record is from RNAcentral. Lineage: Eukaryota; Metazoa; Arthropoda; Malacostraca; Decapoda; Diogenidae.
AUGAAGAUAAAUACAGUUUGACCUGCCCACUGAUAAUUUUAUUUAAGGGCCGCGGUAUUUUGACCGUGCUAAGGUAGCAUAAUCAUUAGUCUUUUAAUUGGAGGCUGGAAUGAAAGGUUGGACGAGAAAUGGACUGUUUCGGAUAAAAAUUUCGAAUUUAACUUUUAAGUGAAAAGGCUUAAAUAAAUUAAAAAGACGAUAAGACCCUAUAAAUCUUGACAUUAAAUUUUAAUAUUUAUUUGAUUUAUUAGUUUUAAAAAAGUAUUUAAAAUAUAUGUUGGGUUGGGGCGACAAAAAUAUAGAAUAUUUAACUGUUUGAAUGUAAAGACAAGAUAAUUGAAAAGAAAAAGAUCCUUUAUAAAGAUUAAAAGACUAAGUUACUUUAGGGAUAACAGCGUUAUUUUCUUUGAGAGUUCCUAUUAAAAAGAAAGUUUGCGACCUCGAUGUUGAAUUAAAAAUUCUUUAUGGUGCAGCAGCUAUAAAAGAAAGUCUGUUCGACUUUUAAAAUUUUACAUGAUUU